ACGAACGCUGGCGGCGUGCCUAAUCCCUGCAAGUCGCGCGAAGUUUUUCUGGUGCUUGCACCGGAAAAACUUAGCGGCGAACGGGUGAGUAACACGUAAAGAACCUGCCUCAUAGACUGGGACAACUAUUGGAAACGAUAGCUAAUACCGGAUAACAGCAUUAACUGCAUGGUUGAUGUUUAAAAGUUGGUUUUGCUAACACUAUGAGAUGGCUUUGCGGUGCAUUAGCUAGUUGGUGGGGUAAAGGCCUACCAAGGCGACGAUGCAUAGCCGACCUGAGAGGGUGAUCGGCCACACUGGGACUGAGACACGGCCCAGACUCCUACGGGAGGCAGCAGUAGGGAAUCUUCCGCAAUGGGCGAAAGCCUGACGGAGCAACGCCGCGUGAGUGAAGAAGGAUUUCGGUUCGUAAAGCUCUGUUGUUAGGGAAGAAUGAUUGUGUAGUAACUAUACACAGUAGAGACGGUACCUAACCAGAAAGCCACGGCUAACUACGUG
This 498-nucleotide ribosomal RNA is filed under the name uncultured bacterium. RNAcentral's name for it is "partial 16S ribosomal RNA". It matches the Rfam family "Bacterial small subunit ribosomal RNA", at positions 29 to 507 of the family's 1533-position model. The record is from RNAcentral.